UACGAAGGGGGCUAGCGUUGCUCGGAAUCACUGGGCGUAAAGCGCACGUAGGCGGCUUUCUAAGUCAGGGGUGAAAUCCUGGAGCUCAACUCCAGAACUGCCUUUGAUACUGGGAAGCUCGAGUCCGGAAGAGGUGAGUGGAACUCCGAGUGUAGAGGUGAAAUGCGUAGAUAUCUGGAGGAACACCGGUGGCGAAGGCGGCAUCCUGGACCAUUACUGACACUGAAUAGCGAAAGCCAGGGGAGCAAACGGG
RNAcentral lists this ribosomal RNA (253 nucleotides) under uncultured bacterium. RNAcentral's name for it is "partial 16S ribosomal RNA". It matches the Rfam family "Bacterial small subunit ribosomal RNA", at positions 524 to 776 of the family's 1533-position model. The record is from RNAcentral.